GUGAGGAAUUUUCCGCAAUGGGCGAAAGCCUGAUCCAGCAAUGCCGCGUGAAGGAUGAAGGCCUAUGGGUUGUAAACUUCUUUUCUUAGAGAAGAAUAUUGACGGUAUCUGAGGAAUAAGCAUCGGCUAACUCUGUGCCAGCAGCCGCGGUAAGACAGAGGAUGCAAGCGUUAUCCGGAAUGAUUGGGCGUAAAGCGUCUGUAGGUGGCUUCAAAAGUCUCCUGUCAAAGAUAAGGGCUUAACCCUGGGACGGCAGGAGAAACUCUGAGGCUAGAGUUUGGUAGGGGCAGAGGUAAUUCCCGGUGGAGCAGUGAAAUGCGUAGAGAUCGGGAGGAACACCAAAGGCGAAAGCACUCUGCUGGGCCACAACUGACACUGAGAGACGAAAGCGAGGGGAGCAAAAGGGAUUAGAAACCCUUGUAGUCC
RNAcentral lists this ribosomal RNA (426 nucleotides) under uncultured bacterium. RNAcentral describes it as "partial 16S ribosomal RNA". It matches the Rfam family "Bacterial small subunit ribosomal RNA", at positions 354 to 796 of the family's 1533-position model. The record is from RNAcentral.